UACGUAGGUGGCAAGCGUUGUCCGGAAUUAUUGGGCGUAAAGCGCGCGCAGGUGGUUCCUUAAGUCUGAUGUGAAAGCCCACGGCCCAACCGUGGAGGGUCAUUGGAAACUGGGGAACUUGAGUGCAGAAGAGGAAAGUGGAAUUCCAAGUGUAGCGGUGAAAUGCGUAGAGAUUUGGAGGAACACCAGUGGCGAAGGCGACUUUCUGGUCUGUAACUGACACUGAGGCGCGAAAGCGUGGGGAGCAAACAGG
RNAcentral lists this ribosomal RNA (253 nucleotides) under uncultured bacterium. RNAcentral describes it as "partial 16S ribosomal RNA". It matches the Rfam family "Bacterial small subunit ribosomal RNA", at positions 524 to 776 of the family's 1533-position model. The record is from RNAcentral.